Acyrthosiphon pisum (pea aphid) is the source of this 1129-nucleotide long non-coding RNA. RefSeq lists it as uncharacterized. NCBI's taxonomy places the organism in Eukaryota, Metazoa, Arthropoda, Insecta, Hemiptera, Aphididae. The transcript has 5 exons. The record is from RefSeq and is a predicted model, not a curated record.
AUACGAUCGUAUCAAAAAAGUGAGAAAAAAAUUAUUCUUGAAAAUUUUUAAUGGCGAAUGUGUAAAUGUACAAAAUGUUGUAUAAUUUUAAUAAAUUAUGUAAUUUGCAUUAUAAAAUAUUUUGUUAUUCAAAAUUACUAUUUUUACUUGAUUCUUCAAAUUUAGAAUUGUUAUAUACUAUUAUAAAAUAAUUAGGCCAUCAAAUCGGAUAAUAGCCGAUAUUAAGGGUCUUAAUUACGUAUCAUUAUGGAGGUACCUACUUUCUAAUCUUAUCGAUGAGAUAAUGUGGAAAUUAGUCAUAUUUAUCCACAAAACUCCCCUUUCAUUUAUGAACUAAAUUAAAAUACACAUUAUAGGUAUAAAUUAAUACUGCGUUGAUUUUAGGUGCCCAAAGUUGCAUAUUUUAAUUCAAAACGUUAAGUUUUAGAGGACGGAUCGUAAGUGGGUCUGGAUGACAUGUUUAAGGAACUCAUUCAGGAUCUCAGACUAACCACCAACUAUCCAAUUAGGAGUUUCUUCGCACCCUUCCUGAUUUUCUGAAGGUGUGGCGAAGAUAUAAGAAAAAUCCAUUGACGGUAUGAGAAACAGUAGUGAUUAACAACAGAGUGUCACCAGAACGUUAUUUUAUCGUUGAUAGAUCGAACAAGACUUCCCAGUCACCGUAGAUCAAACGAGACUCCCUCCACGAGUUAUACUAACCUUAUACAGUUCACUUAUAAUUUUACAAAAUUAAUUAAAAUAAAACAAAUGUUUCAUUUUCGUUAAAUUCAAUAAUUUUAAUUUGUUUCAGUGAAUGUCAGUGAUUUAAUUAUUGGCUCAUCUAAAUGGUGUUUAGAAAGAUGUUUGAAACAAUACCCUAAAGAAGAGGUCAAUGAUGAGACUAAAGAGAAUUGCGAAAAAGAAAUUAAUAAACCGCUUAAAGAAAUUAAUACAGCAAAUGACAUAUACGUUUAAUAAGAUAAGAUUUUUUUAAAACUGUUUGUUAUCAAUAUAAUGAAUAAUUUUAUUCAUAUUAAGUUUCUUUAAUUUGUCUCUUAUAGUUUUAUUGUUAAUCUUUAAAUUAAGUGCACUUUUAUAAAUAGUUAAAAUGAUUUUCCUAUAGUAACAUUCUCUAAAAUAAGCUGAACUA